This 588-nucleotide small RNA is filed under the name Pan troglodytes (chimpanzee). RNAcentral's name for it is "retained intron". The record is from RNAcentral. Lineage: Eukaryota; Metazoa; Chordata; Mammalia; Primates; Hominidae.
UCCAGGGUGCGAAGUACCACAUUACUGUCAUCUCCCUGUGAGUGGGAUUGGCACCCCGGCUGCAGCUCCAGGAGCAAGUACUCCAGGAAGCACAGAGCUGUACCAGUACACGGCCCACGUUGCCAGGCCCCAGGCAUGGAAGAGCUGAUAUGGGAACAGUACACUGUGACCCUACAAAAGGAUUCCAAAAGAGGAUUUGGAAUUGCAGUGUCCGGAGGCAGAGACAACCCCCACUUUGAAAAUGGAGAAACGUCAAUUGUCAUUUCUGAUGUGCUCCCGGGUGGGCCUGCUGAUGGGCUGCUCCAAGAAAAUGACAGAGUGGUCAUGGUCAAUGGCACCCCCAUGGAGGAUGUGCUUCAUUCGUUUGCAGUUCAGCAGCUCAGAAAAAGUGGGAAGGUCGCUGCUAUUGUAAGUACUGGGUUUGCUUUCAGCUUGCCUUAAUAGCAUUUUGGUUUUUUGCCCAGAAGAAAAUUACCCCUUGCUUUUAAGCAUUUGACAGAAUUACAUAACCUAGGGACCGCUGUUCUUGGAUCCUCAGUACUUUUGGAGGGGUGUGAAGAUAUGUGUAAGUUAUCUUCCUACUUUUCC